This 56-nucleotide transfer RNA is filed under the name Onchidium reevesii. RNAcentral's name for it is "tRNA-Lys". The record is from RNAcentral. Lineage: Eukaryota; Metazoa; Mollusca; Gastropoda; Systellommatophora; Onchidiidae.
AGUGGCCGAGAAUUAUAGGCGAUAGAUUUUUAAUCUGUUAACGUUUAACUGAACCU